CAUGCAAGUCGAACGAGGAUAUAUCCUUCGGGAUAUAAGCCGAGUGGCGCAAGGGUGAGUAAUGCAUAGAUUACCUGCCUCUAGGAUAAGGACAACUUUGUGAAAACGAAGCUAAUACUUAAUAAUACAAGUGGAAAUAAUUUCCAUUUGUCAAUGGGAGGGUAGCAAUAUCUUUUGCCUGGAGAGGGGUUUAUGUCCUAUCAGCUUGUUGGUGGGGUAAUGGCCUACCAAGGCGAAGACGGGUAGCCGGUCUUAGAGGAUGGUCGGCCACACUGGGACUGAGACACUGCCCAGACUUCUACGGAAGGCUGCAGUCGAGAAUCUUUCGCAAUGCCCGAAAGGGUGACGAAGCGACGCCGCGUGAGUGAGGAAGGCCUUCGGGUUGUAAAGCUCUGUCAGGAGUUAAGAAAUAUAAGUGUGCUAAUACCACAUUUAUUUGACGAAGGCUCCAAAGGAAGCCACGGCUAACUCUGUGCCAGCAGCCGCGGUAAUACAGAGGUGGCAAGCGUUGUUCGGAAUUAUUGGGCGUAAAGAGCACGUAGGUGGGUUUGUAAGUCAGAUGUGAAAGCCUUCUGUUCAACGGAAGAAUUGCAUCUGAAACUGCGAGUCUUGAGUGUAGGAGGGGAGAAUGGAACUUCUGGUGGAGCGGUGAAAUGCGUAGAUAUCAGAAGGAACGCCGGCGGCGAAAGCGAUUCUCUGGCCUAUUACUGACGCUCAGUGUGCGAAAGCUAGGGGAGCAAACGGGAUUAGAUACCCCGGUAGUCCUAGCCGUAAACGAUGGGCACUAAGUAGAGGGAAUUACCGAUGUUCUCUCUGCCGUAGCUAACGCAUUAAGUGCCCCGCCUGGGGAGUACGGCCGCAAGGCUAAAACUCAAAAGAAUUGACGGGGGCUCGCACAAGCGGUGGAGCAUGUGGCUUAAUUCGAUGCAACGCGAAGAACCUUACCGGGGCUUGACAUGGUAGAAGUAGGAACCCGAAAGGGUAACGAACGGUAUCCAGUCCGUAACUAUCACAGGUGUUGCAUGGCUGUCGUCAGCUCGUGUCGUGAGACGUUGGGUUAAGUCCCCUAACGAGCGAAACCCUUGUUUUAGUUACCAGCGGGUUGUGCCGGGUACUCUAGAAAGACUGCCGUCGUCAAGACGGAGGAAGGUGGGGAUGACGUCAAGUCAUCAUGGCCCUUAUGCCCCGGGCUGCACACGUGCUACAAUGGUCGGUACAAACGGAAGCGAAGCCGAGAGGUGAAGCGAAUCCUAAAAAGCCGAUCUCAGUUCGGAUUGGAGGCUGAAAUUCGCCUCCAUGAAGUUGGAAUCGCUAGUAAUCGCGGAUCAGCAUUGUCGCGGUGAAUAUGUUCCCGAGCCUUGUACACACCGCCCGUCAAGCCACCCAAGCAGGAUGCACCCGAAAACAUUAUAUCUAACCAGGUUUACCUGGAGGAAAAUGUUGAAGGAGUGUUUUGUGAGGAGGACUAAGUCGUAACAAGGUAGUCGUAGGAGAACCUGCGGCUGGAUCACCUCCUUUCU
Molecule: ribosomal RNA, 1520 nt
Filed under: uncultured Planctomycetales bacterium
Lineage: Bacteria; Pseudomonadati; Planctomycetota; Planctomycetia; Planctomycetales
Description: 16S ribosomal RNA
Rfam family: Bacterial small subunit ribosomal RNA
Source: RNAcentral